GGCCGUGUGGCGAAAUGGCAUCGCGUCUGACUACGAUUCUUUGGAAACGCGAUCAGGAGAUUGCAGGUUCGACCCCUGUCUCGGUCA
This is a non-coding RNA of Crassisporium funariophilum, 87 nucleotides long. Lineage: Eukaryota; Fungi; Basidiomycota; Agaricomycetes; Agaricales; Crassisporiaceae. The record is from the annotation of a GenBank genome assembly.